RNAcentral lists this ribosomal RNA (496 nucleotides) under uncultured bacterium. RNAcentral describes it as "partial 16S ribosomal RNA". It matches the Rfam family "Bacterial small subunit ribosomal RNA", at positions 28 to 506 of the family's 1533-position model. The record is from RNAcentral.
GAUGAACGCUGGCGGCGUGCCUAAUACAUGCAAGUCGAGCGAACGGACGAGAAGCUUGCUUCUCUGAUGUUAGCGGCGGACGGGUGAGUAACACGUGGAUAACCUACCUAUAAGACUGGGAUAACUUCGGGAAACCGGAGCUAAUACCGGAUGAUAUUUUGAACCGCAUGGUUCAAAAGUGAAAGACGGUCUUGCUGUCACUUAUAGAUGGAUCCGCGCUGCAUUAGCUAGUUGGUAAGGUAACGGCUUACCAAGGAAACGAUGCAUAGCCGACCUGAGAGGGUGAUCGGCCACACUGGAACUGAGACACGGUCCAGACUCCUACGGGAGGCAGCAGUAGGGAAUCUUCCGCAAUGGGCGAAAGCCUGACGGAGCAACGCCGCGUGAGUGAUGAAGGUCUUCGGAUCGUAAAACUCUGUUAUUAGGGAAGAACAUAUGUGUAAGUAACUGUGCACAUCUUGACGGUACCUAAGCAGAAAGCCACGGCUAACUACGU